Long non-coding RNA from Leucoraja erinaceus (little skate), 201 nucleotides. RefSeq lists it as uncharacterized. The transcript has 3 exons. The record is from RefSeq and is a predicted model, not a curated record. Lineage: Eukaryota; Metazoa; Chordata; Chondrichthyes; Rajiformes; Rajidae.
GAUCUGUACCAGGGGGCGGCUCAGUACGAGAACCCUCCCCACAUCUACGCUCUGGCAGACAACAUGUACCGUAACAUGAUGAUCGAUGCUGAGGACCAGUGUGUAAUCAUCAGUGGGGAGAGUGGAGCUGGCAAGACCGUCGGAGCCAAAUUCAUCAUGAGUUACAUCUCCAAGGUAUCAGGAGGAGGCCCCAAAGUCCAG